Molecule: ribosomal RNA, 253 nt
Filed under: uncultured bacterium
Lineage: Bacteria
Description: partial 16S ribosomal RNA
Rfam family: Bacterial small subunit ribosomal RNA
Source: RNAcentral
UACGGAGGGUGCAAGCGUUAUCCGGAUUCACUGGGUUUAAAGGGUGCGUAGGCGGGUAAGUAAGUCCGUGGUGAAAUCUCUGAGCUUAACUCAGAAACUGCCGUGGAUACUAUUUGCCUUGAAUAUUGUGGAGGUGAGCGGAAUAUGUCAUGUAGCGGUGAAAUGCUUAGAUAUGACAUAGAACACCAAUUGCGAAGGCAGCUGGCUACACGAAUAUUGACACUGAUGCACGAAAGCGUGGGGAUCAAACAGG